AUUUAGAACGUCAGCUAACUGUAACUGUGAAUCUCCAUAUUGACAUUGUUGCAUCACUGACAGGAGAGAACAUUUUGGAACUCCCCAAAAUGUCUGAAUUUACCGAGUAGCUCCGAGACUGAGAAUGAUUUCAUAACAGAGAAUGAAAUCACUUUAGUUAGGGAGCCAAUAAACCUACUGAAGCCGUUCAUGUUUGAGCCAAUCGUUGCGCCAGAUCAGAGUUUGUUCUCGUAGCAGUAACAACGCAGACAUGCCACCUGAAACACCUCAGCUAGAGGGUUUGCCUAGGAAAACACAAACUGGUGUGAGUGGGGAUGCUGCCAGAUAAUGGCUAGAGUAUGAGUGUGUGUGUUGUAGAGAAAUGGUGGCGAUACAGCACAAAAUCCCACUGUAUUCCAUCCAGGUCAGAGGUUCCUGUCAGUCUGUCUGGAUGGUGAUGUAUUACAUCCAGGUCAGUCUGUCUGGAUGGCGACUGUAUUACAUCCAGUUCAGUCUGUCUGGAUGGCGACUGUAUUACAUCCAGGUCAGUCUGUCUGGAUGGCGACUGUAUUACAUCCAGUUCAGUCUGUCUGGAUGGCGACUGUAUUACAUCCAGGUCAGUCUGUCUGGAUGGCGACUGUAUUACAUCCAGGUCAGUCUGUCUGGAUGGCGACUGUAUUACAUCCAGGUCAGUCUGUCUGGAUGGCGACUGUAUUACAUCCAGGUCAGUCUGUCUGGAUGGCGACUGUAUUACAUCCAGGUCAGUCUGUCUGGAUGGCGACUGUAUUACAUCCAGGUCAGUCUGUCUGGAUGGCGACUGUAUUACAUCCAGGUCAGAGGUUCCUGUCAGUCUGUCUGGAUGGCGAUGUAUGUAUUGGACGUGUCAUUAAUCCUUAUGAAGGACCUCCUGGUAGAAGAGGUUACUCAACCAGUCAGCAGCCGAUAUGCCAGUUAAAUAAUUGGUGAAGUUUUGCUUGAUUAUAAAUAUAAGGUUAAUAUCAGUAGUAGGCAGGUGCUCAAUAAAUAUAAUCUGUAUCCUAUAAAGAUGUUUAUUAUCAGUGCUUUUUGGCGCUAUGGUAACACGUUUACCUUUUUAAAUUAGACGACCGGAGUUCGAAUCGCAGACAGCUUCACGAAAUCUCAUUCUAACCAAUAAUGGGACGUGCUCAUUAUACACUGCUCAAAAAAAUAAAGGGAACACUUAAACAACACAAUGUAACUCCAAGUCAAUCACACUUCUGUGAAAUCAAACUGUCCACUUAGGAAGCAAACACUGAUUGACAAUCAAUUUCACAUGCUGUUGUGCAAAUGGAAUAGACAACAGGUGGAAAUUAUAGGCAAUUAGCAAGACACCCCCAAUAAAGGAGUGGUACUGCAGGUGGGGACCACAGACCACUUCUCAGUUCCUAUGCUUCCUGGCUGAUGUUUUGGUCACUUUUGAAUGCUGGCGGUGCUUUCAUUCUAGUGGUAGCAUGAGACGGAGUCUACAACCCACACAAGUGGCUCAGGUAGUGCAGCUCAUCCAGGAUGCCACAUCAAUGCGAGCUGUGGCAAGAAGGUUUGCUGUGUCUGUCAGCGUAGUGUCCAGAGCAUGGAGGCGCUACCAUGAUACAGGCCAGUACAUCAGGAGACGUGGAGGAGGCCGUAGGAGGGCAACAACCCAGCAGCAGGACCGCUACCUCCACCUUUGUGCAAGGAGGAGCAGGAGGAGCACUGCCAGAGCCCUGAAAAUGACCUCCAGCAGGCCACAAAUGUGCAUGUGUCGGCUCAAACGGUCAGAAACAGACUCCAUGAGGGUGGUAUGAGGGCCCGACGACCACAGGUGGGGGUUGUGCUUACAGCCCAACAUCGUACAGGACGUUUGGCAUUUGCCAGAGAACACCAAUAUUGGCAAAUUCGCCACUGGCGCCUUGUGCUCUUCACAGAUGAAAGCAGGUUCACACUGAGCACAUGUGACAGAGUCUGGAGUAUACAGGCUGGCAGUUUAUCGCCAGGUCACCCUGUGGGCACGAGGGAGAAUUAGAAGGGGUGUACGGCAUUUCAUCCCCGUGCAUAUUGUUUCUUCCAAAAGGCGCAUAAUAGCCAGAAGCAAAGGCCUUGAACAGAACCCGUUCAUUUAGUACAUCUAGCCUAAACUGGGACGGAGACAUAAUGCCUGCGCCUUAUGUAAAAAUAGUAUUAGUUAGCUUGUCCACUAUAACAACAGGUUCAAGUGUAACCAGAUAUACUUGCUUUGAAGAUAAACGUCUUUCAGUGCGCACUAAUCCCGGUGUCCCUGUCGCUAGAUUAGUGACUUCAACUAGGUUUGGCUGCCAUCUACUGGAAAGGAAUGGUAACUACACUGGGCAGCUAGUUGUCAAAGGAGACUUUAAUAAUAUAUACCAUUUAGCAGACGUCUUUAACGAAAGCCAACUGGGUACAUGGUAGUGGCAACAGAUCAUAGAAACAGGAUUACAAUGUUGAUGUCAUGGAUGGUCAGUCAUUCUAUCUAUAACUCUGUCUAUGCAAUUGAGAGUGGUUAUAUUUCUCCAGCCCCAUCCCUCGGCAGAGGAGGAGCAGGGAGACACUUUGUAAUUGUUUCUACUACCGUUCUAUG
This is a long non-coding RNA of Oncorhynchus keta (chum salmon), 2575 nucleotides long. RefSeq lists it as uncharacterized. The record is from RefSeq and is a predicted model, not a curated record. The transcript is spliced from 4 exons. NCBI's taxonomy places the organism in Eukaryota, Metazoa, Chordata, Actinopteri, Salmoniformes, Salmonidae.